CAGUUGGAUAAAUGGGUCUGAAAUUCAGAGGAGAAGUCCAAGCUGGAGAAAUUUGAGAGCCAUCAGCAUUGUAGUGGACACUGUCAGGUACUCCACCCAGAUUCCUGUAAAUACUUUUUUUUUCUUUUGCUGAGGAAGACUAGCCCUGAGCUAACGUCUGUGCCAAUCUUCCUCCACUUUGUAUGUGGGACACCUCCACAACAUGACUGAUGAGUGGAGCAGGUCCACGCCUGGGAUCCAAACCCACCAAUCCAGGCUACCGAAGCAGUGCGUGGAACUUUAACCAUUCGGCCACAGGGCCGGCCCAUAAAUACCUUCUUUUGAGAGCCUCACUCACCACUUCUAUGCACUUAUGCUUCUGAUUUCCAGCACCUGCAUCUCUUCUCCAGAGAACUGUCCUGGGGCCACUGGAAAUGCUCUGCCCCCACCGACAGAGAACUAAAAACGCCUGGAAACGCACCUCCUCCAGGACCACCCUUGACCAAUGACUGACACGUGCAGGGUCGGGUGGAGAGGGGAAGCAGGACAGCCCAGCUCCCUUGUCUCAGGAAAACUCUGAGGCAUAACCGAAGCCCCACAGUUUCCCUACACCCAAGAUCGGGUUAAAACUACCCUCUACAAGAUGGCCUGAGAUUGUACUUCGCCUGGCUUUCUCCCUUCCCUGCUCUGUGUUUCCCUCUCCCUUACCAGUCCGGCCUGGGAGCACCUCCUUAGGAAGUCAUUAGCACGAAUCCUUGUCUCAGCGUCUGCUUCCGGGACCCCCCAACCUAAGACGAACACAUAGACGCUAUUUGAAGGCAUGAGUCUAGGCCGUUUUUUCUGAAUGUGGACUUUGUCCUUGUCUGAAGUUCUCCACCUGGAUGCCCUGUGCUCAUCUCUCAAGAUUCAGUUAAUGCCACUUGCUCUUUGAAGCUUUCGCUGACUGGAGGAAACCUUAGAUGCUCCCACCGCCCUGUGCCCUGUGCAUUCCUGGCUCAUGAUAGAGCUGUGCUUUAUGAAGACAACGCCAUCAGCAGAGUGUGUAAGAGGCGAAAGUGGGGAGAGACUGGAGGCAAAGAGGCCAGGUCACAGCCCUGUGUCAAAUGUCACCAGACAAUAUGAUUGUAACAAUGUCGCAGGCUUCAGGGAACUGUUUCAUAAGAAAUCUCCUAUGUGGAUCCCUGGUGACACCGCUGUGAUGUGAGAUGAAGCGGGUUCAAGAGCAGAAGAAAAGACAGUAUUAUGAAGAGAAGUUACAGUGUCAAGAAGCUGACUCUAGAAUGUGAGGUGGAAAAUCAGGGACUUCAGAGUCAACAGGGCUGGGUUUAAACAUCAGCUUUACUGCUUACGAACAUUUGACCUUAAAUAACUUACUUAACCUCUAUGAGCCUUAGUUUCUGAAUCUAUGGAACAAGGACUAUAAUACAUGCCUCAUGAGACUAUCGAAAGGAUUAAAUGAGAUGAUACACCUGUAACGCUAACUGAAGCCACAAUCCAUGUCGUCCAGUUCCAGAGGAGGGCCAGAGACAAGGAAACAUGGAAAUCUGUAGCCUCAACGUCAUGGAAAAGCAAUUCCAAUUUUAUUCAAGUUUCUCAGCAUUAAAAAGAAUUCAAU
RNAcentral lists this long non-coding RNA (1594 nucleotides) under Equus caballus (horse). RNAcentral describes it as "lncRNA (ENSECAG00000030337.3)". Lineage: Eukaryota; Metazoa; Chordata; Mammalia; Perissodactyla; Equidae. The record is from RNAcentral.